UAGCUACAGGCUUAACACAUGCAAGUCGAGGGGCAGCAUGGUCUUAGCUUGCUAAGGCCGAUGGCGACCGGCGCACGGGUGAGUAACACGUAUCCAACCUGCCGUCUACUCUUGGACAGCCUUCUGAAAGGAAGAUUAAUACAAGAUGGCAUCAUGAGUCCGCAUGUUCACAUGAUUAAAGGUAUUCCGGUAGACGAUGGGGAUGCGUUCCAUUAGAUAGUAGGCGGGGUAACGGCCCACCUAGUCUUCGAUGGAUAGGGGUUCUGAGAGGAAGGUCCCCACAUUGGAACUGAGACACGGUCCAAACUCCUACGGGAGGCAGCAGUGAGGAAUAUUGGUCAAUGGGCGAGAGCCUGAACCAGCCAAGUAGCGUGAAGGAUGACUGCCCUAUGGGUUGUAAACUUCUUUUAUAAAGGAAUAAAGUCGGGUAUGGAUACCCGUUUGCAUGUACUUUAUGAAUAAGGAUCGGCUAACUCCGUGCCAGCAGCCGCGGUAAUACGGAGGAUCCGAGCGUUAUCCGGAUUUAUUGGGUUUAAAGGGAGCGUAGAUGGAUGUUUAAGUCAGUUGUGAAAGUUUGCGGCUCAACCGUAAAAUUGCAGUUGAUACUGGAUAUCUUGAGUGCAGUUGAGGCAGGCGGAAUUCGUGGUGUAGCGGUGAAAUGCUUAGAUAUCACGAAGAACUCCGAUUGCGAAGGCAGCCUGCUAAGCUGCAACUGACAUUGAGGCUCGAAAGUGUGGGUAUCAAACAGGAUUAGAUACCCUGGUAGUCCACACGGUAAACGAUGAAUACUCGCUGUUUGCGAUAUACAGCAAGCGGCCAAGCGAAAGCGUUAAGUAUUCCACCUGGGGAGUA
RNAcentral lists this ribosomal RNA (852 nucleotides) under uncultured organism. Its description in RNAcentral is "SSU rRNA". It matches the Rfam family "Bacterial small subunit ribosomal RNA", at positions 37 to 882 of the family's 1533-position model. The record is from RNAcentral.